Long non-coding RNA from Oncorhynchus keta (chum salmon), 151 nucleotides. RefSeq lists it as uncharacterized. The transcript has 3 exons. The record is from RefSeq and is a predicted model, not a curated record. Lineage: Eukaryota; Metazoa; Chordata; Actinopteri; Salmoniformes; Salmonidae.
UGUUUGUUAAGGUAGUUAUAGACAGUGCAGCAACAAUAAUAAUAAUAAUAAUAAUAAUAGUCACUGUUUGUUAAGGUAGUUCUAGACAGUACAGCAACAAUAAUAAUAAUAAUAGUCACUGUUUGUUAAGGUAGUUCUAGACAGUGCAGCA